This 302-nucleotide long non-coding RNA is filed under the name Nicotiana benthamiana. RNAcentral describes it as "long non-coding RNA (NBEN_LNC015740)". Lineage: Eukaryota; Viridiplantae; Streptophyta; Magnoliopsida; Solanales; Solanaceae. The record is from RNAcentral.
GUAAUAGUAGAGAAUUGAGCACCAAUAGCAGACCCAAGAAAACUACAAUAUAGAGGGUAAUUGAACAGUAGUAGGCUAAAGUUCAGCCUGGGUUUCAAACAAGUUGAGUAACCAUUAGUCUCGAGAGAAGUGAGAGAGAUUGUGUAGAAACAAAAUAGCACUGAAUAUAUUUUGUGUACGAGAGAGAGUUUAGAAUGAAUAUGUUCGUGUUUUAAGUGAGAAUAGAAGAGGAGUACUUAUAGCUAUUGAAAACCAAUGGAGAAUAGGGUAACCAGUACAUAAUUAUAGAAAGAAUACCAAUU